UGCUGUUGGCUCCUUAGCUUCUCCAUGGCUAACAGGAACAAUAUUGUUUAUGAGAUAAUCAAAGCCAUAGUCAUGAGUUAGAAGGUACAUAUAAAGGCAAAUAUGUGGAGAUUGAGUUACUUUGGCGGGGGCGGAGGGGUGUGUAGUUAUCUGAAAACAUGGAACAAAUCAAUGAGAGUCUAAAUAGCACCCACAUAUUUGCCCCUCUUUUAAAACAUACCUCCUUUAUGAGUGUAGAAUUUAACAGCACAGUUUCCCAGUGCAGCUUUGCGAAACAAGAGAAAUGAAUUUUAAAGGCUGUCAGGUGCCUUUGCAAUCUGUGGCUUAGUAUUUGUGUAACAACAUUUGUGUUUUGCCAACAGAUGUACUGCUUAAAGUACCCAUGAGAAUGGCCUCUGUGGUUUUCUACUUUCUCGGAUGGAACCUUAGGAACUGAUUAUUGAGAAGAGGCUGAUACUGCCCACCUCAGCUCCCAGGCAGGCUUCAGGGCCUUGGUUACUACUCCUUUGGGCCCUCACUGACCCUUGCAGACGUCUUUUGCAACCUCUGUAGCCAGAAGGGACAACCGCUUUCUGGCAUGUUGCUCUUUCCCUAAUGGCUUUAUGAGCUUCUUGAACACCAAAGCAUGUGUGACUUCCUCACGCCUUCCCCUGUAUAGUAUAGCACCCCUAACUGUAUGUGUAAGGAGAAGGAGUGAGCAAUUGAUGGCGUCCCCCUGGAUCUCCAAGGGAAUGGGAAGGGGCAGGGUUUCUGGAUUCAGUCAUGUGGAAUCUGGUCGUUGGUGUCUAAAUGUGCCUGUUACUUGUGCCCAAUGUCCAGGUUCACCAGGAGGCUUAGCCUGCUCAUUUCCCUGCUAGUAGCUAUAUUUUGGGAGAGCAUUUUGUAUGCUCUAAUUGAACUUUGUGGGUCUCAGCAAUUUGAACAAUGUUUUGUUUUUCUUCUGGUCAGGUUACAAAGGAAAGAAAAGGAAUCUGGUGUUGUAGGAGGUGGUGUGUUGUGUAAUUACUUGUUUUUUUUUUUAAGUUUUUUUUAUAUUUUUGCAACAAGGCAAGUUUUCUUUGAAUAAAUAAUGCUGGGAGCUUAUCACAUAGAAGGCAUAUGUGUUGUACUCAGUACAUUCUGAAUUAUCUGGGUUUAUUUUUAUCUCUUGAAUUCACUUAUAAACAAUUCAAAGGCUGUUUUUUUAGCUAACAGAAAUAGGAAGAGAAUCUCAGAAUCUGUUUUGUCAUUUUUUCAAUGGGUUGACUUAUAGUGAUUAUGCUAACUCAGUGGAAAAGCAAUGUAGUGAGUAAACCCCACAUACGGCAUAUCAUGAACAUUUUGUUGCUUUUUUGGCUUCUGACCAUCUUCAUACCUUUUUUUGUGUUAAAAGUCUCCCCGUUGUGUAUAUCUUAGUAAGAGGCAGGUGGACCCUAGUUUCUACCUAAGAAAACCUGAAGCUGGGGUUGGGGGCCUGUGGUGUACUUCCUUCUCAUGCUGUCCAUGACCACUGCAGUGGCUUUGUAAGGAUCCAGGACCCAGGGCCCCUCAGUGGGUGUCUUCCAUUUCUCAAGAUUGCCUCUUGGUUGUGAGAUGACGGUUGCUGCUCUAGUCAUUGCAUCCACUCCUCCAGGUAGGAAGAAGGAGGUCAUAGGGGAAAGGCAAAAUGGCACUUGACAUCUUAACUUCUAGGCCCAUUCAAUAUUUCCAUUUCCAUCUUCACACCCAUCAUCUUGUCCUAGGGAACAAACAGCACCAGCAGCUCAGUAGCUAUAACAGCAGUUAUUUAUUUCUCACACAUGGGUCUGGGUCAGCUGCAAGAUGGGAUUCAGAUCUGUUCUCAAGCCUGUCGUUCCAGGACCCAGGAGGGAGAAGCAGCUGCCAGGGGAAGUCUCUUCGUAGGCGGAGGUCAGGAGUCCAAGAGGAGUGAGCAGAGUCACAGAAGCCUCUUAAAGCCUCUUCUUCCCCCAUCCCAUCAACACAUCUGCUGCCCAAGAACUCCUUUGUGAUUGAAUUUAACCAGAGUUGAUUUCUGUUGCUUGAAACUCAGGACCUUGAUGCAGUGUGCAGGGUCUGGGCAAGUCUAGACUUGAAUGCAAACAGUUCUUAUUGCUAACUUACCACUAGUCACCACUAAUGAACAAAGACUAUGAACAGGAAAUUCAUAAAAGAAGAGAUACAGAUGGCCAAUGAAGAUAGGAAAAGAGUUCUGCCUGCUGGUAAUCAAAGAGAUGCAAACGAAAACAAAAAUGAUGCCUUUUCACCUACCAAAUUUGUCAAGAUUAAAAAGAAAGCAAAGAGCCAGCGUCAGCUGAUGUUCAUACCUGCACCUGCUCAGUAGCUUGCUAAUGUUCUGCCUGCUCCACACGCCAGGCCAGCCUCCACGGCGCAGCCAGGGAAGAAAAGUCAGAAGACCAGGACCUCCAGGGCCUCAAGGACAAACCCCUCAAGUUUAAAAAGGUGAAGAAAGAUAAGAAAGAAGAGAAAGAGGGCAAGCAUGAGCCCGUGCAGCCAUCAGCCCACCACUCUGCUGAGCCCGCAGAGGCAGGCAAAGCAGAGACAUCAGAAGGGUCGGGCUCCGCCCCGGCUGUGCCGGAAGCUUCUGCCUCCCCCAAACAGCGGCGCUCCAUCAUCCGUGACCGGGGACCCAUGUAUGAUGACCCCACCCUGCCUGAAGGCUGGACACGGAAGCUUAAGCAAAGGAAAUCUGGCCGCUCUGCUGGGAAGUAUGAUGUGUAUUUGAUCAAUCCCCAGGGAAAAGCCUUUCGCUCUAAAGUGGAGUUGAUUGCGUACUUCGAAAAGGUAGGCGACACAUCCCUGGACCCUAAUGAUUUUGACUUCACGGUAACUGGGAGAGGGAGCCCCUCCCGGCGAGAGCAGAAACCACCUAAGAAGCCCAAAUCUCCCAAAGCUCCAGGAACUGGCAGAG
This 2908-nucleotide small RNA is filed under the name Pan troglodytes (chimpanzee). RNAcentral describes it as "retained intron". The record is from RNAcentral. Lineage: Eukaryota; Metazoa; Chordata; Mammalia; Primates; Hominidae.